Molecule: transfer-messenger RNA, 383 nt
Filed under: Anaerolineales
Lineage: Bacteria; Bacillati; Chloroflexota; Anaerolineae
Also listed under: 1 other name
Description: DRKV01 sp011051635 Standard tmRNA
Rfam family: transfer-messenger RNA
About the family: Bacterial tmRNA, also known as 10Sa RNA or SsrA, is named for its dual tRNA and mRNA-like properties.
Source: RNAcentral
GGGGAUGAAAGGUCUCGACGGAAGAGGCUGGUCCCGGAUGGCGAGCCGAGAGGCGCCGACCUCGUAAAAUCAGCGCACCACACAAGUGCCAACCGCACACAAUAUGCUGCUCUCCCCCUGGCUGCCUAGUCGGAGGGAAGCACACCUGACCUCUUGAGAGGUCACGUCCACUUCUCCCGCUGGCCGACCGGUGAGGGGCUGGGCGACACAAAGUCGGCCUGCCGUCCGAGAAGCCGCGGCUCGGACGAAAGACCAAAGCGGCUGGCCGGAGGGUGACUUGGGUCACCUGUGGCCCCUCCGGCGAGAAUGACAGGUGACUACGCUCGUAGAAAUCCGAGGGCUUAAUCUUCCGGACGCGGGUUCGAUUCCCGCCAUCUCCACCA